AUUAAUUACAGUUUAGUGACAAAGGAUCCAUAAUCGAUACAAGGUUUGGGAUUGGAGGCAUGGCUUAGCAGGUAAACGGACUGCUAUGUCAGCAUGAGGAACUGAGGCUGAACCCUAGCACUUAAUGCAGACAUUUAUAAAGCGCAGUGUGGCAGCCUGGGGUUAAUGCCAAUGCUUCAGGGCAGAGACAGGGGUCGGGGGUUCUGGAGAUGCGCAGGUCAUCUCCAUCAAUGAAUUCCAGGUUCAAUGAGAGGUCAUGGCUCAAAAAUAAGGCAGGGAGGAAUUGAGAAAGAUACCUGGUGUAGAUAUCUGACGUCCAUAUGAUAUGCCCAUGUAUACACACACGCACACACACGCACACACGCACGCACGCACGCACGCGCGCAUACACACCGCAUUACAACAGAAUACAGUUUCAAAAAAGUAAAAUCCUAGUUAACACCAGCAGAAUACCAUAAACCAAAUUGCCAGGGGAUCUGUCCGACGGGUAAAGUUGUGGCUUAGAGUCAUAGAGUUCAUAGUCAACCCCGUUCAACAGACAUCUAAGAGGAGCACCACUUCCUUUCCUUUCAGCAGGGAGAAAGUCGUGUCAGAGUGGGAUGCUUCUUCCGGUUUUGUUGUACUGAAAUCUUUCAGCGUCUCUAAAGAGGCAAAAGAAUUGGAUUUCAGUGGACAAAUAUCGCCUUCAAAUUCGUGAGGAAGCCCCAACAAACUCAUGACUCAAUUUCCAAAAAGUGAAUUCUCCCACGAGGAACAAGAAAAUCCAGUUAGUACCAAGUUCUACAUCCAUUAUCCAAGCAAAAGGCCACGGAAUCAAAUCUAUCGGUACUGUUUAUGUUUGCCAAAUGAACCAUUUGAAAUAUUAAAAUGACAUCAAUACAGGUUUCUGGAGGAGCUCACUGACAUCAACAGCCCUGCCAAAAGUGAAUUGCAAACUUCUGAACAUUUGUCAUAUUUAGAAAGCUCUAUUUUUUUUCCUCCAGUUCUUUUCUU
RNAcentral lists this long non-coding RNA (993 nucleotides) under Mus spicilegus (steppe mouse). Its description in RNAcentral is "lncRNA (ENSMSIG00000023287.1)". The record is from RNAcentral. Lineage: Eukaryota; Metazoa; Chordata; Mammalia; Rodentia; Muridae.